ACUCAAAUAUUCCGGUCAAGCUAUCAAAUAUUCUACGAAGAUUUCAUAGGUACAAAAGUAAAACUCAAAUAUUUAAAUCUAUCAUCACACUAUCUUCAUUUCGUCUUCAGAUAUAGUCCAAGUUUUCCCUACGUCCAAUGCACCCUCAACCAAGCCUUCAACCAAAAUACACUGACAUUUCUUACUUUUUGAAAGACCGCAACUGCAAGAAGAAAAUGUACUUUAGUUAAUUUAACUACAGAAAAAUAAAAACGCAAUACCAUAAAAAUGCGAUGACCAUAGUUUUUCAUACACAUAGUGAAAAUGGAAUCAUCAUUAGAAGUGUAGUUUAAAUUUACGGUAUCCCAUCCCACUCUGCCACUUAAAAGAAAAUAGUGAGAACCACGUUAGAUUCUCCAACUAAACCUGUUUAGAUGAUGUAAUACCACAUAAAGUAAAAUCACUUUUCUUAUAUUCAAGUGGUAUGAUGUCUAGCACUAACAUUCAAUCUUAUUGGUGACUAAGUAUCGCCUAUAGGUUUCAGACUAGCAUGUUGUAUGACAUUGCAGAAGUGACUAACUGAUUCCAUAUUUCAACAAAUUAGGCAAAAAAACCACUCACCUUGUAUACAAAUUCAACUUCAGCAUUAACCAGCUUGUCAGAAAUUUUCAGCACCCACUACAGAAAAAGAGACAAAAAAAUUACUUAUAUCGAUAAGCAAAAAUUCAAGCAACUAGGAUGUAGAGAAAAUCUGAUCAUAAGAGCAUACCAAUAGAUGGUUGCAUUCGAGAUUCAGUCCAAAUAAAAAAACCCCAAUCCACAAAACCAAGUAGAGUUUUUUCGCCAUUUU
This 829-nucleotide long non-coding RNA is filed under the name Aquilegia coerulea. RNAcentral's name for it is "long non-coding RNA (ACOE_LNC002021)". The record is from RNAcentral. Lineage: Eukaryota; Viridiplantae; Streptophyta; Magnoliopsida; Ranunculales; Ranunculaceae.